Mercenaria mercenaria is the source of this 3998-nucleotide long non-coding RNA. RefSeq lists it as uncharacterized. NCBI's taxonomy places the organism in Eukaryota, Metazoa, Mollusca, Bivalvia, Venerida, Veneridae. The transcript is spliced from 6 exons. The record is from RefSeq and is a predicted model, not a curated record.
CGCGCACUUGUCACAAGGAAACAACAACAACAAAAUGUGCUAAAAAAAUGAACUUGCGAGGAAAAGUAAAGUUUUUGAUCGAUUUUCCGCUAAUUGUGACAUUAAGCAAUGAUAUUUCAACGACUUCUUUUGAUAGAAUCUCAGUUUUCUCAAUUCAUACGUCAUAUAGGGUAAGAACGCUGUACGAUGCAAUGGCAAUAUUUCGUCUGGUGAAUUCGGACAACAUUUAAGCUGACUGGGAAAAGUGGAAAAAAAAGCACAGAUAUAUGAUAUGUAAAUGGGGGAAAAGCAACAGAUCACAGAGAACCCUGUAUCUCGUUUUGGGUCUUCCUUGGUGGAAAUGUUUUGUCUGACAGCCGAUGGUUUAGUUUAAUACAGUCCACUUCAACCAGACUGGAGAGAAGACACAUGCAACUAUCUGGCACGAGAUUGUAGAUAGCAAUUACUGGUAUUUUUCAAACUUUUGAUGAAGGAUGACAAAAAGUUGGACUUUUAUAGUCUGGUUUGAUUUUUAACUGCUUGAGUGACUGGUAAAACAAAUGGUUUGUAUGGCAUGGCUGAACAGAAUAGACUGACUAUCUCAUCAGCAGACAUCUUUACAUGUACUAAACUAGUACCUGAAAUUUACUGAGAAAAUAUGCACACAUGAAACAAGAUAUCCAAUGGAGUACUUCAAAAGACAGUCUGGUUCUGUUUCUUCAUAGAACAUUGAAAAAAGCCUUUCGCCUUGACAUUUAAGCAAGUGUAAAGAAUACCUUAUUGAAGUUCUUCAGUAGAGAGACCACAAAAAAUAGAGGGACAUGCUGUACUACAACUUGUCAAACAGACCAUUAUAGCUGUCACAAAAUGGAGCAAACACUCAUAUCUGAAUAAACGUCAAAGUGCUUAGCUUGAUUUCCUUACUAAAACAUGAUGUUAAUCAAAGUUUAAAAGUUAUACAAUUUUUGUAUGUUUUAGCCCUCUACAUGAAAACAGGAAUCAUUGUAAUUCGGAAGUGAUGUCAGUGAAGUUGGACAUAAAAAGACCACAGUAUGAUAUACUGUAAUUACCAGUGAAGGAAACAGCAGUGCCAUAAGAAACUAUUCAAUACAUGUAUUUGGAAAAAUUAAAAAUUUAUAAUAAAACUGAAGUUAUCAUGUACAGUAAUUAUAAUUCAGGAUUUCAGAGUGGACUGAUUUACUGAAACUAUUGCAGUUUAGUAGCCAAGCACUUUCUUAAACUGUUGUAAUAGAUCACAAUUUCUUAUAGAUUAUUAUAAAAAACUUUUUAUCAGAUAAAAGUGGCUGUUGACACCUUAUUUGUGACUAGUGAAUUAAAAACUAAUAACUAGUAAGAUUCUUCUGGGAAACAAAUUGUCAUAAUGCCUUCUGAGCACACGCAAACGUCUUUAGAUAUAGUAAAACAUGUACUGUGUUAUCUCAAGUGAUACAAAUGCAUUUUUAUAUAGUAAAAGAACUACCUUGUUUUGGUCAGUGGUUAGUUGAUCAGGGUCAAUAGUAAUUUUUCUUGGCUGAACAAUUUAUACAUUGACUACUUAUCAGAAAUGCUGUUUUAAAUACAAGUUUCUUAAUAUUUUUGAUAUCUUACAAAUGAACAUUGAUUUAGAAUUUGAAAAAAAUAUUUUUAUUAUUUGAGAAAGAAAAUUUUUAGCUCCACUGAGUACAAAGUGCUCAUGGUAAGCUUUUAGGAUUGUUGGAUGUCAGCCGUCUGUCUGUAUGUUGUCCAUAUUUUCUUUAAAGAACAUCUCACAGACCAUUAAGUCAGUUUCAAUCAAAAUUUUCAGGAAUGUCUCUUUGGUGGUCCUCUAUCAGAAAUCUGAAAAUCUGUGUCAUCCAGACUGAAUUCUGGAUGCCACUGUACCAAAAGAAAUACAUCUUGGAACCACUGACAUGUUUUUGGUAUAAUUUCACAGAAAUGUUCUUUUGGUGACCCUCUACCAAAUUUUUCAAAACAUUCUAUUUUCUUAAAAAAAGCAUUGCCACCAGGUGGUGGAUUAAUUAGUUUUCUCUAUAUGGCUGUAUGGAAAACUUUGAAUAUUUCUGAAACUACUGGCCCAGUUUCUAAAUAAUUUCACAGCAAUGUACUUUAAGUGAAUCUAUACCAAAUAAUUCUUUUUCGUUGAUAAACAUGGCUGCUAGGGGUUAGGGUUAAUUUUCCUUGAAAGGCUAUAGUUUUGCUAGACUUGAAAAUUCUUCUCCUUUAAAAGUGCUGGACCAAUUUAAAAAUAAUUCUAAAGAAAUGAUUUUUGGGUUACAAUCCACUAAAUUAAAUGUACUUGAAAUAAUUUUGUUCCUGAAACACAUGACUGUCUGAGGGUGGGGUUUGUUUUCCCUAUAUGGCUAUGUGGAACAAAAUUGAAUACGGUCUCUCAAACCACUAGUAUGAUUUCAAAUAAUUUAACAGUUGUAUUCAUUGAGUCACCAUGCACCUGCAUGUCAUGUUGAUUUGUUAAAAAAAAUCGUUUACAGAUGAGGCUGGUUAACUCUUUUUGGCAAUUUUCAAAUCUCUGAAGCUUUUGUACAGAUCUCAAAAUGAUUUCAGAGCAGUGUACCUUAAGUGACCCUUUACAAAAACACAAGCCAUGUUGAUUUGUUUAAAAAAAAUAUGGCUGCCAGAGAUGAGGCUAGUUUACUCUAUUUGGCUGAAUAAAAAAAAAUUAAAAGAAAUCUCUGAAGCUACUAACCCAGAUUAAAAAUAAUUUCACAAUGUGCCUAUGGUAACUCUCGCAUUAACCCCACCCCAAAAUUAUUGCCUCUUAGAACCCCAUGUCAUCAUUUCCCCCCUCUUCACCCUUCUGCCACACAUAAACACAUUAUUGCACAGAUUUAUUUAGUGGAUUUUUUUUUAAUCCCCCACCAGGUGUGGUAGGGGGUUAUAGGAAUGGUCUCCAUACAUCCUUCCGUAACAUUUUGUGUCUGCUCUGUAUCUCCUAUACCCCUCGAAGGAUUUUCAUGAAACUUGGGUCAAAUGAUAACCUCAUCAAGAUGAUGUGCAGAACCCAUGAGUCAGCCAUGUCGGCUCAAGGUAAAGGUCACAACUCGAGGUCAAAGGAUUGAGCCAUCUAUUUUGUGUCCGCUCUGUAUCUCCUAAACCCCUUGAAGGAUAAUCAUGAAACUUGGAUCAAAUGAUCACCUCAUCAAGGCAAUAUGCAGAACUUGUGAGUCAGCCAUAUUAGCUCAAGGUCAAGGUCACAACUCAAGGUCAACUAUUUUACCCUUCCUUUUCAUGUCUGCUCUAUAUCUCCUAAACCCCUUGAAGGAAUUUUAUAAAACUUGUGUCAAAUGAUCACCUCAUCAAGACGAUGUGCAGAAAUGAUGAGUCAGUCAUGCUGGCUCAAGGUCAAGCUCACAACUUGUGGUCUAAGGUUUGAGCCUUCCAUUUUGUGUCCACUGUAUCUCCUAAACCCCUUGAAGGAUUUUCAUCAAACUUGGGUCAAAUGAUCCCCUCAUCAAGAACUCAUGAGUCAUCCAUGUCGUCACAACUCAAGGUCAAAGGUUUGAGCUCUUUAUCUCCUAAACCCCUUAAAGGAUUUUCAUGAAACUUUGGUUAAAUGAUCGCCUCAUCAGGAUGAUGUGCAGAAGUCAUGGGUCAGUUCAAGGUCAAGGUCAAAGGUUUACCCUUUCACUAUCCAUAACAGUGACGGGGGAUUUAGCUGUCUUUCAAACUGCCUUGUUCUUGUCAGAAAACGCUAUCUUUAUUUCAGAUCAUUUUACUAAUGUUGCAUGACCAUCUACCAAAACUGUUGAAGCCAGUUGUGUAUCUCGGAUGAAUAAACUGGAAUCAUCAUUGUCCUCUUGUUUAGCAAUGUGUUCUGCAAAAUUCUUUAAUGUCAGUUUUUUACAAAAACCUGGAAAUUGUUGACUUUGUUAAAACCAAGGAAAUAGUUAGGAAUCUGACUCCGAACCCUUGCCAGACUUUAUUCAGACUAUGUAUAUUCACAGCCAGUAAUCUUUUUCAUAAAAUAAAUGUUGAUUUUAAUUAUAAAAUAUAUGAAUAUA